Molecule: ribosomal RNA, 253 nt
Filed under: uncultured bacterium
Lineage: Bacteria
Description: partial 16S ribosomal RNA
Rfam family: Bacterial small subunit ribosomal RNA
Source: RNAcentral
UACGUAGGGCGCAAGCGUUGUCCGGAAUUAUUGGGCGUAAAGAGCUCGUAGGCGGUUUGUCGCGUCUGCUGUGAAAGCCCGGGGCUCAACCCCGGGUCUGCAGUGGGUACGGGCAGACUAGAGUGCAGUAGGGGAGACUGGAAUUCCUGGUGUAGCGGUGAAAUGCGCAGAUAUCAGGAGGAACACCGGUGGCGAAGGCGGGUCUCUGGGCCGAUACUGACGCUGAGGAGCGAAAGCGUGGGGAGCGAACAGG